AGAAAAUCGCUCGGAGCUUUGGGCCCCGCAAAGUAAUGAGAAACUAUUUAUAGAUGCACAGUCAUACUAACCAUUACGGACCAUUACGGACGGAUGUCAGGGAUCUGGAAACACGGCUAAAAUUUUCCACAAUUUUACUAUGAUAUUCAGUAGAGCGUCAGACAGAGUGGCUGUCAGUAAAAUACACUUUCCGUGCGUACAACGCGUCGAAAUCACAUGUUCCCCCAAUGCUUGAGAACUUGUAAAAGCAUCCAAUUUGAAUUCUCCGAACGCAUCAGUCUAACUUUGUUUUUUUCCUACUUUUGAUGUGGGAAUUUGCUCCGGGAAAUUUUGAACAGUGAAUCUUGGGAUCGUGCACAACCGAAGCUCCUCGAUGGAUACUCUGUUCUUCCUACUUUCCAUGUGCCUGUGGUCAGGAUCGGUUGCAAAAGCUUUUGGAGCGUAUGGAGACGAUGAAGAGGCAAAACUAGCAGAAAAUCUUCAUAUGCUCGUGUUGAAACAGGCGGACUGGGGGGCCGACCCCUUGGUUACCCCCGAGGAAUCUGACCUCCAGCACCUGACGACGAGGGCUCCCGGAGCCCUUUUAAGAUGCAUGACGAGGAGUGGCGGAAGCCGCCGGGAGCAAGAGAGGCGGGAGCAGAUGGAGCAGAUGCGCCGAGAGAUACAAGAAACUCGCCGCCAACUAGUAGCGAGCAUGGAGCCGCCGAGUCAGCGCGGCUCUGGGAACAACCAGAGGGCGAACCAGGAGCCGGCCAGAGGCGCGCAGACCCCUCGCAACUCAAGCUCCAGGAACCGCGGAUCGCAGGUGCAGGACAUACAACAGGUCCCACAGUUCUCGGCGGAUCCCGGAUGGACGGACGUUCACGCGUACCCGCAGAUGCAACAACAACAGUCGCAGCGGCGUACCAGUGGGUACAACAGCAACUCGCGAUCCAGAUCGCAGCAGCAACUGACCGUCAACAUCCCGCAGACACCGGCCGCACCGAACGGACAGAGGUGGUGGCAUACUGGGUCCCGCUCACCUCCCCAAGCCCUAUCACCAACUUCUGGAAACCCCAUCCAUUAUGAUUAGAAACGCUGACGAAGCGCAGAACUGAACUGGGGUAUCCGUGUGGGCUGUGGGGAGAGGUGGGGCAUGUAAGCAAAUCGUUCGGUCAAAUACUGUUGACGAAGUCCGUAAACAGUUUACGUUUGUACAUCAUCAAAACAUACUUUAUUUAACAUCUAUAAAUCGGAUUAAUACAGUGAUGAACUUUAUCGCAAAAUUUCGUGUUUUUCAUGAAAAUGGUGCAUGUGUGAGGAAUUUGCGAUCUGACUGUUAAUUCUUAUGUAAAAGUUCGCGAGAAACACGUUGGUGCCACUGGUUUUUUUCUGAAAUCAACUCCCAAGCUCAAAAACAGCUCUCAAGUUGAGGCCAAAAUGGAAGGGAUAUCCCAUGCUAUCCUGAAAGUCCACCUCUACAUCAAGACGAACUCUCCAUACAAAAGAUAGGGAGCAAAUACAUUGACAGGGCUGCCGUUUUGUUCGGGGACUCUAAAACUGAAAAAAUGUCAUCACUGCUGAUGUAUUUGCUCCCUAUCUUUGCAUAGAGAGUUUGUCUUGAUGUAGACGUGGACUCUCAGGAUAGCGUGAGAUAUCCCCUCCAUUUUGGUCUCAACUUGAGAGCUUUUUUUGAGCUUGGGAGUUGGUUUCAGAGAAAACCAGUGGCACCAUCGAGUUCCUCGCGAACUUUUACAUGAGAAUCAAUAGUCAAAUCGCAAAUUCCUUACACACGCAACAUUUCCAUUAAAUGUAAUUUAAUUCUGUUCAACAGUUUACGGCUUCGUAAACGUGCUCCAGACCACGUUAUCGAAACUGUUGACGAUUCUGGUUAAGAGAGUGAAACCCAUCAACUGUCCUUUCAAUAGGCCACCGGGCUCUGAUUGGUAGAUGAAAAUACCAACUUCGUUAAAUGCGCAGGACAACUGUUUACGGAUUUCGUCAACGUUUGACGAACGAAAAUUUGCUUAAAUAAUUAUCGCGAAAAACAUUCCAAAUGCGUGCUUAGCAAAUGACGGGUAGUAACCAUUGUAAUAAUAAAUCAUUCUGGAUACUUUAAGUUCAAUAAAUUGGCUGCUUUUUUGGGCUCCAAGAAGAGAUACAUGACCUACCCACCAAAAUUACCAAUAGGUCCAUACUCUCAGCUGACACAGCCAGGAUAGGACUGAUAGUCACAUUUUUAAUGAAUGCGUCAGUUGAGCUAGUCACAUAAAUGUGUUUUGAUAAUUCCAGAUUUUAGAUCAGCGAAAAAUAAUAAUAUCUGUUCAAACACCAAAACUCUACGUCCGAUAUCGACGCAAAUAUCCGUGACACACACGGCAUGUGACGUGAUCCUUCGUGACAGUGUCUACCACGCCUCCUUCCAGCUUCGUUUCAUCUUCAAAAAUCAGUGCAAAUGUAUCACUAAUAGAUGAAUUCACGAUAGGAGAAACCACGGUAAGUAUAGACUACCGUAUACUGCCGUGAUAGCCAAGACAGCAAUAAGUGCAUUUCUGUUUGAGCCAUCGUUAGCACAUGCUACCAUGUGUCUCAAGGUUCAUCCCAGCGUGCACUUACUGCUCUCUUCGUUAUCAUGGCAGUAGGGUGCGGCUUAUACGAGAAAUUAAAAAUGUUGAAUUUUGAAAUUGACAAGGGACCCCGCCAAAACGUUCCUAAUAGUGCAAUUUUAAGGGCCCGUCGGGACCUCUAAAUGUUGACCAAAUGCAAAACUGUUCUACAACGUUUGUUUUUACUCUAUCAGGAACGUUUAGGCGGGGUCCCUUGUCAAUUUCAAAAUUCAACCUUUUUAAUUUCUCGUAUAAGCCGCACCCUAUCAUGGCAGCGUAGUGGAUGACGUCUUACUCCGUGUUUUUCGAAAAGCCAUGUGUUCGUUAAAAUUUGAUGUGGUAUUCACAUCUUUAAGCAGAUCGAAUCACUUCCUGCUGAUCUAUGGACUUAAACCAUCAAAAUACUAGUGACUAUACUACUAUACUAGUGACUAUACUUGUGACUAGCGCAACUGACCCCACCUAUUAUGUUCAUGUCCGUGGUGAAAACUGCAGGAUUUUCUCCUUCUUUCUCUCUCCUCUCUUACUGCAAAAAUAGACACUCACAAUGUAUAUUGUUGUCUGCGAAGACAGAUGUCAGUGUAACUGAUCCCGUGAAGUUGCAUGCGUUCAUCAUGAGUCUGAGUCUUAAGUACUUUUUCCAGAAUUUUCGAAUAAAUCCACGUGUACAACGCGGUGAGGCUCAAUUUUUAACACCUGGAAAAUUCCCAAUAUAGCACAUUGCAACAGCCACGUCAAUUUUUCUGGCCUCCACCUGGCGAGAGCACAUUAAAGCUCCCAUUGAAAAAAAGACAGCAAAACAAUUAUAAAAAAAAAUUCAGAAACGUGCGAGGGAAAAGCUAUGCAUGAAGCUUUUUUGAAUCCAUCAAUUUUUAAAAUGGCUUCUGAGUGCAAAAUAAAACCGGAGCAGAAUACUAUACGAGUAUGCUUUCACGAAAUUGCGACUCUUCAGUGAUACGAUUGAAUAUGUGGACGCCUUUAAAUAAAAAAUGAACUAUAUCCAUCGUGAUAUGAGACCAGGCAUGCAUGUACUCCUGUGGAUCUCAAGGUUCGUGUCAGAAUGUAUAUUGUUCAUUCUGAUCUAAGCACGUCCUAUUGAAGCGCAUCACUGGUAAAAAAAACCUCUUGGUUCAAGAGUGCAGUUUCUUGUCGCCGGAUUUAAGAGUCUGGACUCUUGUUUCAAUGCAAAAUCCGCUUGAAUCAAUGCAAAAUCCGCUUGAAAGAAGACUUAAGUCAAUGCAAUGCGGCAUUGGUCCGAGCGGUUUUUUCACCAGUGCAGCCGAAUAAGCGAAGAAGUAUUGGAUAAACUAUAAUUAUUUUUGAACUUUGCCUUUACUUUUUACAACGGGUGGUUUUUAGGUUUUUUCUUGGCAAAUGGAAAUUUCAUCAAAAGUUCAUAGAUUUGAACAGGGACUAAAGUGCCCUUACCCGAAAGGAGAUAAAUUACUCAAAUUAAAAACCCAAAAUAGAAUGAAAAUAGUGCCAGGAAAGGCUGGACAUGAUAAAUAUACGAAUUGGAAAAAUCAACUAAAUAUAAAUAACCACACUCUUGGAUUCCGGGUUGGAAUCCCGCUGGUAGAAACAAAGUUUCGGCCGAAAUAUUCGAUCGUAUACUUAGCUAAACUCUACCAAGCGCAAGAUCGGUACCGCUUCUUCGAUUCAUGCCCGGGCAGCCGUGCAUAGAUUUUCUGUGCAUGGA
Molecule: long non-coding RNA, 4284 nt
Filed under: Bemisia tabaci
Lineage: Eukaryota; Metazoa; Arthropoda; Insecta; Hemiptera; Aleyrodidae
Description: lncRNA ENSASIAIIG001839
Source: RNAcentral